RNAcentral lists this ribosomal RNA (257 nucleotides) under uncultured bacterium. RNAcentral's name for it is "partial 16S ribosomal RNA". It matches the Rfam family "Bacterial small subunit ribosomal RNA", at positions 524 to 778 of the family's 1533-position model. The record is from RNAcentral.
UACGAAGGGGGCUAGCGUUGCUCGGAAUUACUGGGCGUAAAGGGCGCGUAGGCGGCACUGUUAGUCAGGCGUGAAAGUCCUGGGCUCAACCUGGGAACUGCGCUUGAUACGGCAGAGCUAGAGGAUGGAAGAGGCUCGCGGAAUUCCCAGUGUAGAGGUGAAAUUCGUAGAUAUUGGGAAGAAACACCGGUGGCGAAGGCGGCGAGCUGGUCCAUUACUGACGCUGAGGCGCGAGCAGCGUGGGGAGCAAACAGGAU